UCUACCUGGGAGAAUGAAUGAGCCACCUCUAAUGUUAGUCCAGGGACUCAACAAACUGAUUCUGCUGCACUUGAUUUCUGGAAAUAUUUUCUUUGUAUGUUUCUGAAACCAGCACAGUGGUGAAAUAAUAACUAGAUGCUUCUGAUUGAACUGUUUCUCCAACUUUUGACACUGGAUAUUUAAGAAUGAAACUACAGAAAACGAUUGUUGGCUUCAUAUCAAAUACUUGUCUGCAUUCAUUCAUAAUGCUAACUACAUAUUAGACACACACCACUAAAGGUGCAAAGAGAGAGAAAAAAAAUAAACAUUUACACUAAUGAUCACUCAUUUUUUGUAAAAUUGCAUUUAAAGAAAUAGAAGCAGGCACAAGUGUGCAACACACCUGAACUCCCCCACUUUGAUCUUUCCCCUGGGGUCCUUUUAGUUGCAGUGGGCCAGCUCUGGUAAGGAGGCAGGACUCAGAAGCCGCUUGGCAUCCAGCCCAGUCUUUGUGGGCCACUGGAGAGAUGGAUAGCUAGGUGCAGAAGUGCCCUGAGGCAGGUGUUAAAAUGUUGUUCUUAGUUCCUUGGUGGUAAUCAUUGCAAAACAAUCCUGUCUGCUCUAUUCGUAUCAACAAGCUGCUUUCCCUGGCUUGUUGCUAAGAGACAGGACUGUUGCUUACAAGUUGCUUAGUGCCUUAGACUUUCAUAAUUUAUAAUUUAUUAUCUUAGCAUAAAAAUUUGUGGUUUUUUUUUAAUUUUGUUUUUCCACCAACACAAUAAUUGUCACGUAAAACAAAGGUCAUGUAUCUACCAGAGUAGCAGUUGCUCUUAUAUACUUCACUUUUGUAUGGUUUAGGAUUCUGUGAAAAGAAAAUGCUAUUAUAAACUGAAGAUGAAUAUCAUUUUUGUCCAUUAACUUCUUGCGUUAUAUGACUGGUUAGGUCAAUGGAUUCCCUCAAGAUUUCUUCACUAUUGAAAACAUGUUUCUGUCCAACCAAGAAGGAAAUGAAUUGAAAUGAUUUCAGUUAUCACAUGAAAGACAUCGGCUCUUUUUGCUCUACACUUCAGCACCUAAUAGUUGAACUCAUCAGUCCUACUUUCAUGAAGUUCAGUGAUAGAGAUGUUUAACCAAUGCCAGAAAUUACUCUUGUGCAUUAAUCUAGCUUUGUGAAUAUACAAACCUUACCUUGCUAAAGUGUUUUGUACCUAACACUAGUUAAAUCAGCUCAGUGAGGAGUAAUGACAAAGUGGAAAUGAGAAUAAUUUGCAGACUUGUUAAGUUGCAAAAUAACUCUGUCACAGUUCACCAGUUUAAAGAAAAAAAAAAAAAAAAAAAAAAGAAAAAAAAAAAGAAGAACUCAUUGUUAUACACCCUCGUGGAAAUUAAGGAUACUGACCUCAGGUUAGGAUUUACUUGACUGUUUAACAGAAGAGCUGUACAUACAGCUGGUGUUGUGGUAUUAAACUAAAGCAUAUUUAAGAGCUUUACCAAUGCACAACCAUCAGCUACAUUGCCACUGUCAAUGCUUUAAAAAAAUGAAAGAAAAGUUACUUUUCCACCCUGAUUUCAGUGAGCUGUUUAAGCCAGUUAGAACCAAGAACAGCAUCAUACACAGCUGUAGAAAUGGUUAUGGAAAUGUCCUGAUGCAAAUAGUGCUUCCCCUGCAAGGCUUGUGAGGGAGUGUCUAUCCAGCAAAAUCAAGAACAGAAGACUGUGGUGCACAUCUUCUUGGCCAUGUGGAUGCCUACUUCAAUCCAAAGCAGGAUUCCUAAGGAUUAUACUAUUGUUCCUCUUUGGCCACAACAGCAGUGAAACUGCUGAUUCCCUCCAAAUCUGGCACCAGAGAAGUGUUAGCCCAGAGGCAAUACUUCAAGAAUGUAAGGACUACCUAAAACUAAACCAUAUCAUUAAGAACAUCAUCCAGACACUCCUGGAAGUCUUACAUGUUUGGUGCCAUGACCACUCCCCUGGGGAGCCUGUUCCAGUGGCUGACCACCUGCUCAGUAGAGAACUUUCUCCUAAUGUCCAAACCUACUACCUUAUUCUGCUGCACUACUUUUUACCUGUAAAAUUCUGUACUUUUCAUGGCUUGGAGUCUUUGAAUCAAAAUUGUACAUUGAUGUAAAAGUUACACUGUAGGUUCUACACAAGUUAUAAGCAUUAUACAGAAAUUCUCUGGUGUGGUUCUAAAGCCUGUGUGAUUCCAAAUUGUGGACAAUGUAAUUGAUAUUACACUAUGUGUAACCCAAA
This is a long non-coding RNA of Pezoporus occidentalis (night parrot), 2232 nucleotides long. RefSeq lists it as uncharacterized. The record is from RefSeq and is a predicted model, not a curated record. The transcript has 3 exons. Lineage: Eukaryota; Metazoa; Chordata; Aves; Psittaciformes; Psittacidae.